CUUUCUCUAAGGAGAAGGGCUGGCAAUUGCAAGUGCACUGAUAGACAUUUCACAACAGAAGCCCUCAGAGUGUAAAGAUAAGAGUUUGGGAGUCAGAAAUCGAAAGCAUCACCUUUCAACCCGUCAAGGGACUUGCGUCUGAGAUAACAAGAAUGCAUUUGUAUAUUCUGUAAUGUUUUAUUCUUCUCCCCCCAACCUUUUUUUUUUUAAGAGCUUCCAUUGAAAGCUAAAAUACAGCCUCAGUUUUUAUGGAGGCAAUCUCUGGAUGGUGGCAAAGAUGAUGGUAAGAAGUAUCAAGCUUAGAUGAAUUAACAUGUCUUCUUCCCACUGAGCCCCCAAAAUGUGGUGUCCUAAUGGGCAAUGUGAAUAUAUUGGCUGAACUUUAAGAAAAUAUUCUAGUAUCAGUACUAAUAUAAAAAAAUAUUUCUCCAUGAUUCUUAUUAUCCCUACCAGGAAAAAAAGGAAAAGUAUAAAUUGCUUUAUAACGGGGAAGGAAAUAUAUAUUUGAAAAUUUAAAUAUUUCUGAAGGACUCAUUACAUAGGUAGAAGUAAUGGGUUACUCAGUUUUUCAGUUUGAUCAGCAUUCAGAUACCUUCAGUUAAAUAAAGCAGGAACUGACAUUGUUAGGGAUAUAAAUAUUAUUAUCACUCCCCAGGUAUGACAGUAGAACUCAAGCUAGGUGUUAGACUAAUACAACAAAAAUGUAUUUCAGUGAAGCAAAUAUAACAAGAACAAAAUACAUAUAUUUCAAUAAGUAGAAAGUUGGAUACAUGCUUAUCAAACAUACCUUUCAACAGCAGGAUAAAGUAUAAGAAUUCAGAAUGUGGAAUGCAGCAGAAAGAACAUUCCUGUCUUCCAUAGCAAACCAACUCAUUGUAAGGGCUGUCUGAGUGUGGAAAAGCCUAUCCAGCGGCAAAGUAUCAACCACCAUUCCAUUUUUUUCCCCUUGCCCCAGCCAUGUUGAAAAUUGAAAGACUCGGGAGGGCAGAGUUGAAAAACGUUAUAUUCCUACAUAGAACUGCCUUGAAUUCUGCAUUAAUGUAAUACUGAUGGCCAAUGAAAUCCAUGGAUUUAAAGCCAGUUGCAGAUUUUAGCCUUCAUAUCCAAUGGGAAAAUCAUUGCCAUGAUCACUACAAAGUAAUGUUGCUCUGGCUAUAUUCUCCCCUUUAUUGCAGCUAUUAAAAAUCCUCUCUCUAUUAGAAGCAAAUAUAUAUUCUUCUCCCUUUAAAAUAAUCUUUAAAAGCAUACAUUAAACUAUCCAAUGGCCUAGUAACAGUUUUCUUGUUGAGGGCUGUUGGAAUGGCAUUUUGGUACAGAACAUUACCAAAUUGCUGUAUACCAAUCAAAAGCUAGAAGAAAACAAUUUUCUAGCUUACCAAUUUCCACUACUACUUUAUUAAAAGCCACCUCAUAAGCCAUGGGAGAGCAAAAUGGUACCUGUAGGCAUCAGAGCAUACAUGUUUUCCUAUAGUAUCCACAGAAUCCGAACAUUAAAUUAAAUUAAAAAAAAUAAUUAUUAAAAUCACAUGUCUAAAUAUUGUAGUAUUACCAAAACUCAACAUUUUUGGUUAUUUCAAACUUGUGAAACUUGGAGUGAGAAUGCCAAAAUCUUAUAAGAUGUGGCAGAGUCUCAAUAUUUUGGCCGUAUGAUCUCACUAGGGUUCACCUGCAGUACCUCAUGAACCAUCGGUGCUCCCUAGACCAUAAUCUGAGAACCACUUAUCUAGUUAUUUGAAAGGGAAUAAUAAUUAUAAAAUACUUUCACUGCUUCAUAAUUGCUGCUUAAUUGUAAAUCCACUUUAUAUUUUCAGCAGCCAUUCUUUUGUUGAUGAAAGGCCUUAUGAUUUAAUUAGGGAGAUCUGAUUUUUGCCAUUUUCCUGUGUCUCCUUCUGCCCGCCCUCCCAACAUCCCCCACCCUUGCUACAAUACAGUUCUCCAAACAUAAGGAGGACUCACAUCACAUUUAAUGAGAAAAGGUCUUUCAGAGGUGGGCAAGAGAUUAAUUGUUUUGACAACAUUAUUCUUUAGGCUUCCUGGUCUUAAAUCUAGAAAACAUGAAAUGCAUUUAAAUAAUAGAAAUACUAUUAUUUCUAUUAUUUCUAUUUCUAUAAGUACUUAAUUUGUUUACUUAACCUUAUACAUUGCAGUGUACAUUAAAUGUACAAUUUUAGUUGAAGGUGAUAUGUACUCAAAACUGGUAAUGGCAGAUUACAUGUUCCAGUGGACUUGUUAAAAUCCCGGGGAAGAGCAGAACAGCAGUUCUUAGUCUGCAGAGCUGCUAUUGUGGUAAUUAUGCACAGAGGUAUAAACUCUUACCAGUGGUGGAGUUGUGUUAAUUAAAAAAGGCAUACAAAUAUAAUUGGUGUUUAUAUUAUAUUUUCAUUUUCUUCCAGGAAGGGGAAAGAUUUAACUGUUUACAGUUUGACUACAUAGUUCCUUGCAUGUCAAGAUGGUGCAGUAGCAGUAAUAAAGGCCUGUUUGUGACUUGAUGGUGUUUCUCUUUGAAAAUAAUUUGACUACUUAAUUUGGAUGAGGAGUGAUUGUUAUGAAAAAAGAUAGAAAUCCAUUAAAUUGAACUGUUGUACAGUAUGUAGUUCUCUCUCAUCCAAGAUCAUUAGGUUACAUUUUAUCAUGAUUGCUCUACUGUUUUUGAUUCAUUGCACAGUGAUAAAUUAUGCUGGCAUGAUUGUUGGAAUAUUUUCAUUCUCAAAAGGAGACUGAUUCUUAUUCUAAAGUUAUGUUGUCAAGGUAUGAUGAUUUUGUUUUAAAUUCAAUUUCUUAUUCUAAAACAAAGGGUUACAGUUCUACAGGCAUUUUGUGUUAAGUCUAUUCGAUAUCCUUAUUUACAUAUAAAUACUUCCAGAAUUAGGGAGAGGGAGGGCUAUUGCUAUCAGAAAAAAAUCAGUUAAUGAACUUUUGUAGCUCUGAUAAGGCUCUUGUUUUGUUUGGUUUGGUUUUUAAAAAACCUAUUAUGCUAAUAUUGAUUUGGUAAAAGAAAAAAAUGUCAUUAGAAUGGGCAUGUAUGAUGAGUAAGGGGAUUAUUCAGGGAAUAACAAACGAGAAAUAAAA
Non-coding RNA from Python bivittatus (Burmese python), 3069 nucleotides. Lineage: Eukaryota; Metazoa; Chordata; Lepidosauria; Squamata; Pythonidae. The record is from RefSeq and is a predicted model, not a curated record.